GUCAGAAACUGACGAUAUUGGAAAGUCGAAAAGAUAUCCGUCUUGGAGCCAUGAAUGCGAAUGUGGGUCCUUUCUCUAUUUAUUGCUGCUUAAAUCAGUCGAGGUCAGAAGAUGAACGACUGAGGUCAGAAGAUGGAUGCUUAAUCCUCGUGUAGGGAUGCUGGCACUGGAAUGACCUGUAAAAUAAGUUUCAAACCGAAGAUUGUGGCUCCAGUGAGGAUCCUCUGACACUCAAGUCAGAAAAACAGAGAAUAAAGGAGCAACAAUGGAUUCUCUGAGAAGAAUUUGAUCGGACUCAUCUGGAUUCUCGGGGUUCUGAUUGUUUAUAUAGAAAGAUGGUAGACAGUUGGAUUGUUAGCUGUGAGAUCGCAUGAUCUUG
Molecule: long non-coding RNA, 379 nt
Filed under: Elaeis guineensis (African oil palm)
Lineage: Eukaryota; Viridiplantae; Streptophyta; Magnoliopsida; Arecales; Arecaceae
Description: long non-coding RNA (EGUI_LNC012871)
Source: RNAcentral